UGAGGAAUAUUGGUCAAUGGGGCGAGAGCCUGAACCAGCCAAGUCGCGUGAGGGAAGACGGUCCUACGGAUUGUAAACCUCUUUUGUCGGGGAGUAAUAGGCGGGACGUGUCCUGCUGUGAGAGUACCCGAAGAAAAAGCAUCGGCUAACUCCGUGCCAGCAGCCGCGGUAAUACGGAGGAUGCGAGCGUUAUCCGGAUUUAUUGGGUUUAAAGGGUGCGCAGGCGGGACUCGUCAAGUCAGCGGUAAAAAUUCGGGGCUCAACCCCGUCCUGCCGUUGAAACUGCGAGACUGGAGUGCGACAGAGGAAGGCGGAAUGCGAGGUGUAGCGGUGAAAUGCAUAGAUAUCGCGCAGAACUCCGAUUGCGAAGGCAGCCUUCCAUGUCGUGACUGACGCUGAGGCACGAAAGCGUGGGGAUCGAACAGGAUUAGAUACCCUGGUAGU
RNAcentral lists this ribosomal RNA (444 nucleotides) under uncultured Porphyromonadaceae bacterium. RNAcentral's name for it is "bacterial SSU rRNA". It matches the Rfam family "Bacterial small subunit ribosomal RNA", at positions 355 to 794 of the family's 1533-position model. Lineage: Bacteria; Pseudomonadati; Bacteroidota; Bacteroidia; Bacteroidales; Porphyromonadaceae. The record is from RNAcentral.